GAUGAAGAACGUAGCGAAAUGCGAUAAGUAGUGUGAAUUGCAGAAUUCAGUGAAUCAUCGAAUCUUUGAACGCACAUUGCGCCCCUUGGUAUUCCAUGGGGCAUGCCUGUUCGAGCGUCAUUUGUACCCUCAAGCUUUGCUUGGUGUUGGGCGUCUUGUCGUAUUACGACUCGCCUUAAAUACAUUGGCAGCCGGCACUUAGGCCUAGGAGCGCAGCACAUUUUGCGAUCGUAGCCCGUUGUACUGGCGUCCAUCAAGAACAUUUACCACGUUUGACCUCGGAUCAGGUAGGGAUACCCGCUGAACUUAAGCAUAUCAAUAAGCGGAGGA
This 330-nucleotide unclassified non-coding RNA is filed under the name soil metagenome. Its description in RNAcentral is "partial contains 5.8S ribosomal RNA, internal transcribed spacer 2, and large subunit ribosomal RNA". The stretch from base 1 to 120 matches the Rfam family "5.8S ribosomal RNA", at positions 35 to 154 of the family's 154-position model. The record is from RNAcentral.